AUUGAACGCUGGCGGCAGGCCUAACACAUGCAAGUCGAACGGUAGCACAGAGAGCUUGCUCUCGGGUGACGAGUGGCGGACGGGUGAGUAAUGUCUGGGAAACUGCCCGAUGGAGGGGGAUAACUACUGGAAACGGUAGCUAAUACCGCAUAAUGUCGCAAGACCAAAGAGGGGGACCUUCGGGCCUCUUGCCAUCGGAUGUGCCCAGAUGGGAUUAGCUUGUAGGUGAGGUAACGGCUCACCUAGGCGACGAUCCCUAGCUGGUCUGAGAGGAUGACCAGCCACACUGGAACUGAGACACGGUCCAGACUCCUACGGGAGGCAGCAGUGGGGAAUAUUGCACAAUGGGCGCAAGCCUGAUGCAGCCAUGCCGCGUGUAUGAAGAAGGCCUUCGGGUUGUAAAGUACUUUCAGCGGGGAGGAAGGGAGUGAGGUUAAUAACCUUAUUCAUUGACGUUACCCGCAGAAGAAGCACCGGCUAACUCCGUGCCAGCAGCCGCGGUAAUACGGAGGGUGCAAGCGUUAAUCGGAAUUACUGGGCGUAAAGCGCACGCAGGCGGUCUGUCAAGUCGGGUGUGAAAUCCCCGGGCUCAACCUGGGAACUGCAUUCGAAACUGGCAGGCUGGAGUCUUGUAGAGGGGGGUAGAAUUCCAGGUGUAGCGGUGAAAUGCGUAGAGAUCUGGAGGAAUACCGGUGGCGAAGGCGGCCCCCUGGACAAAGACUGACGCUCAGGUGCGAAAGCGUGGGGAGCAAACAGGAUUAGAUACCCUGGUAGUCCACGCUGUAAACGAUGUCGACUUGGAGGUUGUUCCCUUGAGGAGUGGCUUCCGGAGCUAACGCGUUAAGUCGACCGCCUGGGGAGUACGGCCGCAAGGUUAAAACUCAAAUGAAUUGACGGGGGCCCGCACAAGCGGUGGAGCAUGUGGUUUAAUUCGAUGCAACGCGAAGAACCUUACCUACUCUUGACAUCCAGAGAACUUAGCAGAGAUGCUUUGGUGCCUUCGGGAACUCUGAGACAGGUGCUGCAUGGCUGUCGUCAGCUCGUGUUGUGAAAUGUUGGGUUAAGUCCCGCAACGAGCGCAACCCUUAUCCUUUGUUGCCAGCGGUCCGGCCGGGAACUCAAAGGAGACUGCCAGUGAUAAACUGGAGGAAGGUGGGGAUGACGUCAAGUCACCAUGGCCCUUACGAGUAGGGCUACACACGUGCUACAAUGGCAUAUACAAAGAGAAGCGACCUCGCGAGAGCAAGCGGACCUCAUAAAGUAUGUCGUAGUCCGGAUUGGAGUCUGCAACUCGACCCCAUGAAGUCGGAAUCGCUAGUAAUCGUGGAUCAGAAUGCCACGGUGAAUACGUUCCCGGGCCU
Molecule: ribosomal RNA, 1361 nt
Filed under: uncultured bacterium
Lineage: Bacteria
Description: bacterial SSU rRNA
Rfam family: Bacterial small subunit ribosomal RNA
Source: RNAcentral